AACGAACGCUGGCGGCAUGCCUAACACAUGCAAGUCGAACGAGACCUUCGGGUCUAGUGGCGCACGGGUGCGUAACGCGUGGGAACCUGCCCUUAGGUUCGGAAUAACUCCCCGAAAGGGGUGCUAAUACCGGAUAAUGUCUUCGGACCAAAGAUUUAUCGCCUUUGGAUGGGCCCGCGUUGGAUUAGCUAGUUGGUAGGGUAAAAGCCUACCAAGGCGACGAUCCAUAGCUGGUCUGAGAGGAUGAUCAGCCACACUGGGACUGAGACACGGCCCAGACUCCUACGGGAGGCAGGAGGGGGGAAUAUUGGACAAUGGGCGAAAGCCUGAUCCAGCAAUGCCGGGUGAGUGAUGAAGGCCUUAGGGUUGUAAAGCUCUUUUACCCGGGAUGAUAAUGACAGUACCGGGAGAAUAAGCUCCGGCUAACUCCGU
This 432-nucleotide ribosomal RNA is filed under the name uncultured bacterium. RNAcentral describes it as "partial 16S ribosomal RNA". It matches the Rfam family "Bacterial small subunit ribosomal RNA", at positions 29 to 506 of the family's 1533-position model. The record is from RNAcentral.